CCUACGGGGGGCAGCAGUAGGGAAUCUUCCGCAAUGGACGAAAGUCUGACGGAGCAACGCCGCGUGUGUGAAGAAGGUUUUCGGAUCGUAAAGCACUGUUGUUAGAGAAGAACAAGGAUAAGAGUCACUGCUUGUCCCUUGACGGUAUCUAACCAGAAAGCCACGGCUAACUACGUGCCAGCAGCCGCGGUAAUACGUAGGUGGCAAGCGUUGUCCGGAAUUAUUGGGCGUAAAGCGCGCGCAGGCGGUCUUUUAAGUUGGGUGUGAAAGCCCUCGGCUCAACCGAGGAGGGUCACUCAAAACUGGGAGACUGGAGUGCAGAAGAGGAGAGUGGAAUUCCAUGUGUAGCGGUGAAAUGCGUAGAUAUAUGGAGGAACACCAGUGGCGAAGGCGGCUCUCU
This 400-nucleotide ribosomal RNA is filed under the name uncultured bacterium. RNAcentral describes it as "bacterial SSU rRNA". It matches the Rfam family "Bacterial small subunit ribosomal RNA", at positions 338 to 730 of the family's 1533-position model. The record is from RNAcentral.